Papaver somniferum (opium poppy) is the source of this 313-nucleotide long non-coding RNA. RefSeq lists it as uncharacterized. The transcript has 3 exons. NCBI's taxonomy places the organism in Eukaryota, Viridiplantae, Streptophyta, Magnoliopsida, Ranunculales, Papaveraceae. The record is from RefSeq and is a predicted model, not a curated record.
UCUUUUAUCAAAAACAUUGAAAACCCUAGCUAUAAUUCCUUUUGCAGAUGAUGAGGUAAUGGAGGUAGACGAUGUUCUUCUCGAUCUUGUUACCAACAAUUUAUAUUCAAUAACAUAUAGAGAAUGAGAAAUCAUGUGUAUGGCACGCUACUGAUUACUCUGAUGGUGAAUUGAAAGAACAGUUGUUUUGUGUUCGAUUUGCAUCCACCGAGAUACCUGAAUACUACCUAAGGUUGCGCAUCAAAGUUUGGGGUACUGGUACAUUCUUUGGUGCCGGUGUAUCUUAUUUGCAAACAAAGCUAGAUGCAGGAAG